UGGGGAAUUUUGGACAAUGGGCGCAAGCCUGAUCCAGCCAUGCCGCGUGGGUGAAGAAGGCCUUCGGGUUGUAAAGCCCUUUCGGCUGGGACGAAAAGGUCCGUGUUAACACCACGGAUCCAUGACGGUACCAGCAGAAGAAGCACCGGCUAACUACGUGCCAGCAGCCGCGGUAAUACGUAGGGUGCAGGCGUUAAUCGGAAUUACUGGGCGUAAAGCGUGCGCAGGCGGUCUUUUAAGUCAGAUGUGAAAUCCCCGGGCUUAACCUGGGAACUGCGUUUGAAACUGGAAGGCUUGAGUGUGGCAGAGGGGGGUGGAAUUCCACGUGUAGCAGUGAAAUGCGUAGAGAUGUGGAGGAACACCGAUGGCGAAGGCAGCCCCCUGGGCUAACACUGACGCUCAUGCACGAAAGCGUGGGGAGCAAACAG
This 428-nucleotide ribosomal RNA is filed under the name uncultured bacterium. RNAcentral's name for it is "bacterial SSU rRNA". It matches the Rfam family "Bacterial small subunit ribosomal RNA", at positions 355 to 775 of the family's 1533-position model. The record is from RNAcentral.